AUUGAACGCUGGCGGCAGGCUAAACACAUGCAAGUCGAGCGGGGUGAUGGUGCUUGCACUAUCACUUAGCGGCGGACGGGUGAGUAAUGCUUAGGAAUCUGCCUAUUAGUGGGGGACAACAUCUCGAAAGGGGUGCUAAUACCGCAUACGUCCUACGGGAGAAAGCAGGGGAUCACUUGUGACCUUGCGCUAAUAGAUGAGCCUAAGUCGGAUUAGCUAGUUGGUGGGGUAAAGGCCUACCAAGGCGACGAUCUGUAGCGGGUCUGAGAGGAUGAUCCGCCACACUGGGACCGAGACACGGCCCAGACUCCUACGGGAGGCAGCAGUGGGGAAUAUUGGACAAUGGGGGGAACCCUGAUCCAGCCAUGCCGCGUGUGUGAAGAAGGCCUUAUGGUUGUAAAGCACUUUAAGCGAGGAGGAGGCUCUUUUGGUUAAUACCCAAGAUGAGUGGACGUUACUCGCAGAAUAAGCACCGGCUAACUCUGUGCCAGCCGCCGCGGUAA
Molecule: ribosomal RNA, 503 nt
Filed under: uncultured bacterium
Lineage: Bacteria
Description: partial 16S ribosomal RNA
Rfam family: Bacterial small subunit ribosomal RNA
Source: RNAcentral